CCUUCGGGGUAAGUAGAGUGGCAAACGGGUGAGUAACACGUAAGAAUCUACCUUUUGGUGGGGAAUACCUUUGAGAAAUUGGGGUUAAUACCACAUAAGUCCCUAUGGGGAGAAAGACCGCGUAAUGCGGUCGCCGGAAGAUGAGCUUGCGGCCUAUUAGCUAGUUGGUGUGGUAAGAGCGCACCAAGGCAAUGAUGGGUAACCGGCCUGAGAGGGUGUACGGUCACACUGGAACUGAGACACGGUCCAGACUCCUACGGGAGGCAGCAGGGGGGAAUAUUGCACAAUGGGCGCAAGCCUGAUGCAGCGACGUCGCGUGGAGGAUGAAGGUUUUCGGAUUGUAAACUCCUGUUAAACGGGAAGAAAGAGACUUAGCUAAUAACUAAGGAAGAUGACGUUACCGUUAAAGAAAGCACCGGCUAACUUCGUGCCAGCAGCCGCGGUAAUACGAAGGGUGCGAGCGUUAUUCGGAAUAACUGGGCGUAAAGGGCGCGUAGGCGGUUUUCUAAGUUGACGGUUAAAAGCCAUGGCUUAACCAUGGAGAUGCCGGCGAUACUGGAAUGACUAGAGGGUAGUAGAGAGGAGUGGAAUUCUCGGAGUAGCGGUAAAAUGCGUAGAUCUCGAGAGGAACACCGAUGGCGAAGGCAGCUCCUUGGGCUACAUCCGACGCUAAGGCGCGAAAGCGUGGGGAGCAAACAGGAUUAGAUACCCUGNUAGUCCACGCUGUAAACGAUGAUUACUGAAUAUGGGGCGCGCGUGCGUGCUCUGUGUUGAAGCUCACGCGUUAAGUAAUCCGCCUGGGAAGUACGGUCGCAAGAUUAAAACUCAAAGGAAUUGACGGGGGUCCGCACAAGCGGUGGAACAUGUGGUUUAAUUCGACACUACGCGAGGAACCUUACCUAGGCUUGACNUGUAUGUGACAG
RNAcentral lists this ribosomal RNA (923 nucleotides) under uncultured bacterium. RNAcentral's name for it is "bacterial SSU rRNA". It matches the Rfam family "Bacterial small subunit ribosomal RNA", at positions 77 to 998 of the family's 1533-position model. The record is from RNAcentral.